This 888-nucleotide ribosomal RNA is filed under the name Haloferax sp. MM17. Its description in RNAcentral is "bacterial SSU rRNA". It matches the Rfam family "Archaeal small subunit ribosomal RNA", at positions 45 to 936 of the family's 1478-position model. The record is from RNAcentral. Lineage: Archaea; Methanobacteriati; Methanobacteriota; Halobacteria; Halobacteriales; Haloferacaceae.
UUAGCCAUGCUAGUUGCACGAGUUCAUACUCGUGGCGAAAAGCUCAGUAACACGUGGCCAAACUACCCUACAGAGAACGAUAACCUCGGGAAACUGAGGCUAAUAGUUCAUACGGGAGUCAUGCUGGAAUGCCGACUCCCCGAAACGCUCAGGCGCUGUAGGAUGUGGCUGCGGCCGAUUAGGUAGACGGUGGGGUAACGGCCCACCGUGCCGAUAAUCGGUACGGGUUGUGAGAGCAAGAGCCCGGAGACGGAAUCUGAGACAAGAUUCCGGGCCCUACGGGGCGCAGCAGGCGCGAAACCUUUACACUGCACGCAAGUGCGAUAAGGGGACCCCAAGUGCGAGGGCAUAUAGUCCUCGCUUUUCACGACUGUAAGGCGGUCGUGGAAUAAGAGCUGGGCAAGACCGGUGCCAGCCGCCGCGGUAAUACCGGCAGCUCAAGUGAUGACCGAUAUUAUUGGGCCUAAAGCGUCCGUAGCCGGCCACGAAGGUUCAUCGGGAAAUCCGCCAGCUCAACUGGCGGGCGUCCGGUGAAAACCACGUGGCUUGGGACCGGAAGGCUCGAGGGGUACGUCCGGGGUAGGAGUGAAAUCCCGUAAUCCUGGACGGACCACCGAUGGCGAAAGCACCUCGAGAAGACGGAUCCGACGGUGAGGGACGAAAGCUAGGGUCUCGAACCGGAUUAGAUACCCGGGUAGUCCUAGCUGUAAACGAUGCUCGCUAGGUGUGACACAGGCUACGAGCCUGUGUUGUGCCGUAGGGAAGCCGAGAAGCGAGCCGCCUGGGAAGUACGUCCGCAAGGAUGAAACUUAAAGGAAUUGGCGGGGAGCACUACAACCGGAGGAGCCUGCGGUUUAAUUGGACUCACGCCGGACAUCUCACCAGCUC